AAGGAUCAUUAACGAAUUUGAUUUUAUCAUUUUUCUGUGAACUUGGUCUUUGACCAUUAAUUGCUUCGGUCUUUUCUUUCGGGAAAAGGCCGGCGAUAUAAACUCUUUAUAUUAACUAGUGUCCAAAAUGAAAAUAUUUUAAUAAAUUAAAACUUUCAACAACGGAUCUCUAGGUUCUCGCAUCGAUGAAGAACGCAGCGAAAUGCGAUACGUAUUGUGAAUUGCAGAAUUUUGUGAAUCAUCGAAUCUUUGAACGCACAUUGCGCCUGGUGGUAUUCCGCCAGGCAUGCCUGUUUGAGCGUCAUUACUCUCUCACUUCCAAGUGGUUUUGCUGUUAUCUCUCUCUUUUAGAGAAAGUGCAGUGAAAAGUAAUGGCAAGGCUUAUGAUAGCUCUUGGGAAAAUGUUUUAGGUUCUACCAACUACAUGAUUACCAGCUAUCAAGUCAGCUUGAUAAUCUUUUUUCAAUGUUGACCUCAAAUCAGGUAAGACUACCCGCUGAACUUAA
RNAcentral lists this ribosomal RNA (506 nucleotides) under Blastobotrys sp. NYNU 1581. Its description in RNAcentral is "eukaryotic LSU rRNA". The stretch from base 151 to 304 matches the Rfam family "5.8S ribosomal RNA". Lineage: Eukaryota; Fungi; Ascomycota; Dipodascomycetes; Dipodascales; Trichomonascaceae. The record is from RNAcentral.